This is a long non-coding RNA of Lycium ferocissimum, 1372 nucleotides long. RefSeq lists it as uncharacterized. Lineage: Eukaryota; Viridiplantae; Streptophyta; Magnoliopsida; Solanales; Solanaceae. The transcript has 4 exons. The record is from RefSeq and is a predicted model, not a curated record.
AUUCCUCUCUUUCUCUUCCAUCUCUCACUCGCCCGAGGCAUAUCUCUUUUUGGGAUUUCUAGGUUUCAGUUUUAACCAUUUUUAUGUUGUCUUUCAUGUUUCUAUUUCAGAGAAUUUUAGGUUUUCUUCAUGCUUCCUACAAUUUUAUAAUGGAUUUCCUUCAUGAUUUUGGUCAAUUGUAGCUAUUAUAUCCUUCUGGCUAUUUUUCUUAACAGCUUAGGUUUUCUUUCGUGUUUGCUUGCGCUUCGUGUAUAGUCGGUUUUCUUCCUCGUUUUGUUCAAUCGUAGCAAUGAAAUUCUUCUGGUUAUCUUCUCGCCCACUUUGCCGGAGAUGUCAGCAAAAAUUUCCUAAUGACCUCAAUCAAUUUCCCUUUAUUUUGAACAACUAUUUUUUUUUAUUAGUCUUUGCCACUUCUGUUGCAGUAUCAUGAUCGACAAUGCCGGUUGUUCAACGUCACUAGCGUUAUGAUUGACAGUGGAAGACAAUAUGGAGUGCUGCUCGAAACGGAUCAAUUCUAUUUGAUUUGAACCUUUAAAUGAAGAAAGGUUUACAUCUAUUGUAUAUUAUAUAAAGUUGGUCAUAGAGUAUUAUUUGACGUGCUUGAAUUUCAUCUACCUAAUGACUCUUCUCUUAGUCACCACCAACAAUUAUCAUUGCUGCUUUUUCUCAUUCAUUCCUCAAAUUAUGUCAUUUUUAUUUUGCAAUGUCUUUUAGAACUGUCAAUUUAAACACAAACUAAAGCAAAUCACAAGUCGUGUCUAUCGGUAUAUACACAUUUAAUUGGAGAUUAUCAACUACGGAACAGGUGAAGUAACUAAUUCUCCAGUGAAUCGUUUAUUCAUCAUUAGUUUUCUGUUAUUUCCAGUUACUCCUCAUAUCGAAUCCAAAAUGAAAAUGUGAAAUUAAUAAGGUGUUGCAUAAGUUUUUCUCAUAUAUGUAAGUGAAUGUGUUUCUUUACAUUUGUUUAUGGGCAGAAGAGAUGACGCAUGGUUUGCCUCUAUAGAAAGAUCAUGUAUUCAAAUGACUUGAAGUGAUAGGGGUUCUAUAUCGCUUGAGGGCCUCGGACUAGAAGUUGUGGAAAAUUUUCAGGAAGGCAAUUUUAUUUUGGCUAACGGAACUGAGCCCUUGGGGCCUCUUCUGGUGCCACACUUCCAUGAAUCUUGAUGUCCUUGAGAAGAUACUGGAGCAGUGUGCUGCUAAGAAAAUUCUCGUGUUAGUAGCAACAAAUCCUAAUUUUGUAACUGUUGAAGCUAAGGGUCUGCGUGUUAUGCCUGGCUGCACUACUAGAGACGACAUGUCUUCAUAACGCACCAUUAUGUGUAGAAGGAUAAGGAAAACAUUCAUCUGAAACAGUCCUCUCACCAGAAAAUGU